RNAcentral lists this ribosomal RNA (445 nucleotides) under uncultured soil bacterium. RNAcentral's name for it is "bacterial SSU rRNA". It matches the Rfam family "Bacterial small subunit ribosomal RNA", at positions 26 to 518 of the family's 1533-position model. The record is from RNAcentral.
AGAACGAACGCUGGCGGCAUGCCUAACACAUGCAAGUCGAACGAAGCCUUCGGGCUUAGUGGCGCACGGGUGCGUAACACGUGGGAAUCUGCCCUUAGGUACGGAAUAACUCAGGGAAACUUGAGCUAAUACCGUAUGAUGUCUUCGGACCAAAGAUUUAUCGCCUAAGGAUGAGCCCGCGUCGGAUUAGCUAGUUGGUGGGUAAAGGCCUACCAAGGCGACGAUCCGUAGCUGGUCUGAGAGGAUGAUCAGCCACACUGGGACUGAGACACGGCCCAGACUCCUACGGGAGGCAGCAGUGGGGAAUAUUGGACAAUGGGCGAAAGCCUGAUCCAGCAAUGCCGCGUGAGUGGAGAAGGCCUUCGGGUGUAAAGCUCUUUUUACCCGGGAAGAUAAUGACUGUACCGGAGAAUAAGCCCCGGCUAACGUCCGUGCCAGCAGCCGC